This 401-nucleotide ribosomal RNA is filed under the name uncultured bacterium. Its description in RNAcentral is "bacterial SSU rRNA". It matches the Rfam family "Bacterial small subunit ribosomal RNA", at positions 29 to 429 of the family's 1533-position model. The record is from RNAcentral.
AUUGAACGCUGGCGGUAGGCCUAACACAUGCAAGUCGAACGCGAAAGUCCUUCGGGAGUGAGUAGAGUGGCGGACGGGUGGAGUAACGCGUAGGAAUCUAUCCUGUAGUGGGGGAGUAACGUUUCGUAAGGAACGCUAAUACCGCAUACGCCCCAACGGGGGAAAGGACGGGGGAGUCUUCGGACCUCGUGCUAUAGGAGGAGCCUGCGUCGGAUUAGCUAGUUGGUGAGGUAAAGGCUCACCAAGGCGACGAUCCGUAGCUGGUCUGAGAGGAUGAUCAGCCACACCGGAACUGAGACACGGUCCGGACUCCUACGGGAGGCAGCAGUGGGGAAUAUUGCGCAAUGGGCGAAAGCCUGACGCAGCCAUACCGCGUGUGUGAAGAAGGCCUCGGUUGUAAG